UAAAAUCCGUCGACUUUAUAAGUCGUGAGGGUUCAAGUCCCUCUAUCCCCA
Molecule: transfer RNA, 51 nt
Filed under: Festuca brevipila
Lineage: Eukaryota; Viridiplantae; Streptophyta; Magnoliopsida; Poales; Poaceae
Also listed under: 12 other names
Source: RNAcentral